UCAGAGUGCGUAUUUCCAGCAAGUUCCAGAAGGUCUGUUUCCAGCAAGAUACAGAAGACAAAUUUCCAGCAAGUUCUAGAGAGUGGAUUUCUGUCAAGUCCACCAACUGAGUGACACAAGGACUUUGCCUUGAGAUUUCAUUCAGUGACCCCCAACCAUGCCCUCUCCAAGGCUUGGAUUUCAGCUCUGGGAGUUUAAUAGAUGAAAGAAAUGCCUUUAUUCCCAGAAGAGACUAUGACUGUGCUGAUUUUGUAACAAGGACAAAAGGAAAAAUGAAAUGAUUACUAAGACUGAGCAUCUUUACAAGGUACUUUUCCCAGACUCAACAGUCCAUAUCCCGCAGCACCACGCACUCUUAUCCAAGAAAAAGAAAAGAAACUGAUUCUCAACAGUAACCUCUGUGACCACGAGGGACUUGAUGCAAGUAUGAUGGGCUCAAAAUAAGACUGACUGACAUAAAGCAGAAAAUCUGUCAUGCCAAGCUUCCACCAUCAUCGGAGAGGAUCUACCUGGGCUUUUAAAGCUCAAAUUCUGUCAUGGAGGAGAAACUUCUCUCACUCCAUAUCAUGAUCUAGCUCCUAGUUUUCUUCUUCUUUUCCCAACUAGACUUCUUGAAAGAACAAUCUAUGUGACAUCAUAAUAUAAUUGAUAUACUAUCCUAUUUUUUCAUUGUAUCUUUUCCCUAAAGUUGGCCAUUUUGCCAACUCUCCCAACCUUUGUCCCUAUAAACCAAUUGGCUUGUUACCUUGGAGAAGGGACAAAGUAGGAAAAUCUUUAUGGUUUUAGGUUCCAAAAGUUCAAAGUCUGAUAUGGAGAGAUUUAGGCUAUAGGAAAAAUAAUGGCUUUAGGAGAAGCUAGGGGCAAGGGAUAUAUAGAUGGAGGGAGAGCAGGCAGCAUCCUUCUUCUCCCCCAGCUCUAGAACCAGAUUUGUCUGGGUCAGUACCACACACAGCCUUUCUAACCUUCCUGGCCUCCAAACAUCUCUAUUCUUUUCUUAGUAAUGAAUAAUAUUCCAAAAUUCUGGGGGAAAAAAACUAGAAUUGGGAUUCUCAAAAUGGAAAUAGAAUUGGUGGGAUGUAUUAAAAUCUGUAUUUCUUUACAGACUUGAGUUGUAGGCUAAAAUUUGUACUUCUCCAUGUUCAUUUAUCCUUGCCUCCCCAGUUUUUUACUGACCAUUCAUCCUUUACCCCAGGCAAUUUGCUCAACCCCCACCAGUCCACUAAGAAUUCCCAUAAUGAAGUCAUCAAUAACCCUCUAUUUCCCAACCCAAUCUUCAAUCCUCAGAACUUAUCCCACAAACUUUUCAAUUAGAGGUUGAAAGUACUGAUACACUCUUUCUUUCCUUUUUUUCCCCCUUGGCAGUAUGGAGAUUGAACACAGGGUCUUGCGCAUGCUAGGCAAGUGAACUAC
Ictidomys tridecemlineatus (thirteen-lined ground squirrel) is the source of this 1410-nucleotide long non-coding RNA. RefSeq lists it as uncharacterized. NCBI's taxonomy places the organism in Eukaryota, Metazoa, Chordata, Mammalia, Rodentia, Sciuridae. The record is from RefSeq and is a predicted model, not a curated record.